Non-coding RNA from Pseudonaja textilis, 403 nucleotides. The record is from RefSeq and is a predicted model, not a curated record. NCBI's taxonomy places the organism in Eukaryota, Metazoa, Chordata, Lepidosauria, Squamata, Elapidae.
UGGCUGGGGAAUUCUGGGAGUUGAAAUCCACAAAUCUGAGAUUGAGAAACACCAGUUUAAGUUCAAACCAUACCAAGGAAGAGUGUGGGAAUUGGGCUUCAAACACCAAAGGACCAUCUGGAGAAGGAGCCACAGAACCAGAUGAUUAAAUGAUCCAUGUGAAAAAAAAAUCUUCUUUGCCUUCUUUGAUAAAAAUGAGGAAACCUGGGAGCGGAAAAAGGCCUUAUCUUACAACUUCAAUUGAGACCGGAACUCCCGUUACUAAGCAAUGCAGUAAUUAAUCAACUCAUGCUCUGUUUUACAACAUUUGGUCACGGCUCUUUAAACAAAUCCAGCUUUCUCCAUUGACCCAAAGGUGACAAUUGGCAACUGGACAUUCUUGCUUUUUUUUUCUUUGAAGACA